UUUGCUAAUAAAAUAAUUUGAAAAUUAUUUCGAACCCAAAAUCGCAAACGAAAAUACCGGUUUUCGGUUGGCGGCUCCAUUUUGAGUUUGAACCCGAGUCUUCAUUCUUCGCUCCCUUUCCUUGCCGGUCCGGUUCCGGCGAACAGCCAAGGAAAUGACCCGCCGACUCCUCGGAAACUAAGCGAUAACCCUCAAGGUUAGGAUUGGAUUCGUCAUACGGAGGUCUCGUCUCAGAUUUUCAAAGGAGGAGCUAAAUGUAAGAGGCCUAUAGCUUGGUGCUUCGUCAGAAUGACAUAUGGACAUGCUUCUUACCCAGAAGAAGAAAAA
Molecule: long non-coding RNA, 327 nt
Organism: Gossypium raimondii (Peruvian cotton)
Lineage: Eukaryota; Viridiplantae; Streptophyta; Magnoliopsida; Malvales; Malvaceae
Exons: 3
Source: RefSeq, a predicted model, not a curated record